This 314-nucleotide long non-coding RNA is filed under the name Mytilus galloprovincialis (Mediterranean mussel). The record is from RNAcentral. Lineage: Eukaryota; Metazoa; Mollusca; Bivalvia; Mytilida; Mytilidae.
UAGUCACCAUGAAAUUCUAUCUACUUGUUUCGCUCAUACUUAUAGCUGGCUUUGUGCCAAAUGAAGUUGAAAGUAUAUAUAGUAUAUUCGGGAGAGUUGGUGGAGGGGCAGGAGGAUUUUCACCUUCAGAUGAUAGGUGUUCUUGUUGCUACGAUAGAGUACGUCGUUUUGGGUGCUGUGUUCCAACAUGUGCUGAUUAUUAACUGAAACCUGUUGACGGAAAAAUUAAAUUCUUAACUAUGAUAUACGUUUUCAAAAUCUGUAACUCUUUAUCUGAUAGGAAUUCAACAUUAAAACAGUUGUUUGUCUUUUGG